UGGGGAAUCUUCCGCAAUGGACGAAAGUCUGACGGAGCAACGCCGCGUGAGUGAUGACGGCCUUCGGGUUGUAAAGCUCUGUUAAUCGGGACGAAUGGUUCUUGUGCAAAUAGUGCGAGGAUUUGACGGUACCGGAAUAGAAAGCCACGGCUAACUACGUGCCAGCAGCCGCGGUAAUACGUAGGUGGCAAGCGUUGUCCGGAAUUAUUGGGCGUAAAGCGCGCGCAGGCGGAUUGGUCAGUCUGUCUUAAAAGUUCGGGGCUUAACCCCGUGAUGGGAUGGAAACUGCCAAUCUAGAGUAUCGGAGAGGAAAGUGGAAUUCCUAGUGUAGCGGUGAAAUGCGUAGAUAUUAGGAAGAACACCAGUGGCGAAGGCGACUUUCUGGACGAAAACUGACGCUGAGGCGCGAAAGCCAGGGGAGCGAACGGGAUUAGAUACCCCGGUAGUCCUGGCCGUAAACGAUGGGUACUAGGUGUAGGAGGUAUCGACCCCUUCUGUGCCGGAGUUAACGCAAUAAGUACCCCGCCUGGGGAGUACGACCGCAAGGUU
RNAcentral lists this ribosomal RNA (549 nucleotides) under uncultured bacterium. RNAcentral describes it as "bacterial SSU rRNA". It matches the Rfam family "Bacterial small subunit ribosomal RNA", at positions 355 to 895 of the family's 1533-position model. The record is from RNAcentral.